This 1004-nucleotide ribosomal RNA is filed under the name human gut metagenome. RNAcentral's name for it is "bacterial LSU rRNA". It matches the Rfam family "Bacterial large subunit ribosomal RNA", at positions 1919 to 2925 of the family's 2925-position model. The record is from RNAcentral.
CCCAGUAAACGGCGGCCGUAACUAUAACGGUCCUAAGGUAGCGAAAUUCCUUGUCGGGUAAGUUCCGACCCGCACGAAAGGCGUAACGAUUUGGGCACUGUCUCAACAACAGACUCGGUGAAAUUGUAAUACCGGUGAAGAUGCCGGUUACCUGCGACAGGACGGAAAGACCCCAUGGAGCUUUACUGUAGCUUGACAUUGAGUCUCGGUGCUACAUGUACAGGAUAGGUGGGAGACUAUGAAGCAUGGACGUCAGUCUGUGUGGAGUCAUCCUUGGGAUACCACCCUUGUAGUACUGGGAUUCUAACCAGAGGCCAUGAAUCUGGUCUUGGGACACUGUCAGGUGGGCAGUUUGACUGGGGCGGUCGCCUCCCAAAAGGUAACGGAGGCGCUCAAAGGUUCUCUCAGUACGGUCGGAAAUCGUACGUAGAGUGUAAAGGCACAAGAGAGCUUGAUUGCAAGACAUACAGGUCGAGCAAGGACGAAAGUCGGACUUAGUGAUCCGGUGGUUCCGCAUGGAAGGGCCAUCGCUCAACGGAUAAAAGCUACCCUGGGGAUAACAGGCUGAUCUCCCCCAAGAGUCCACAUCGACGGGGAGGUUUGGCACCUCGAUGUCGGCUCAUCACAUCCUGGGGCUGUAGUAGGUCCCAAGGGUUGGGCUGUUCGCCCAUUAAAGUGGUACGCGAGCUGGGUUCAGAACGUCGUGAGACAGUUCGGUCCCUAUCCGUCGCAGGCGUAGGAAAUUUGAGAAGACCUGUCCUUAGUACGAGAGGACCGGGAUGGACGUACCUCUGGUGUACCAGUUGUUCUGCCAAGGGCAUGGCUGGGUAGCUAUGUACGGAAUGGAUAAGCGCUGAAAGCAUCUAAGCGCGAAGCCAACUUCAAGAUAAGAUUUCCCACCGUAAGGGUAAGACCCCAGGAAGACUACCUGGUUGAUAGGUCGAAGGUGUAAGUGCAGUAAUGUAUUUAGCUUAUCGAUACUAAUAGGUCGAGGACUUGACCAA